This is a long non-coding RNA of Candoia aspera, 703 nucleotides long. RefSeq lists it as uncharacterized. The record is from RefSeq and is a predicted model, not a curated record. Lineage: Eukaryota; Metazoa; Chordata; Lepidosauria; Squamata; Candoiidae. The transcript has 3 exons.
AACAACUGAAAGAGAAAAACACAUACAAGAAAUGGGCACUUAUAAUUGGAAUUCCAAUCUUUGUCGCUGUGGCUCUGCCCUUGAUUUUUAAUUGGUUACAAAUGCUGAUCUUACUUUGGACCCCAAAACAGCUCGUGCAAGACUAGAAAUAUCUGAAGAUGAGAAGAGUGUGAAGGGACACUGGAUUUUUUUCUGAAGUUUCUAAGAAUGAAGAGAUUUGAUUUCUGUCCAUUUAUCUUGGCAAAACAAGGAUUUCUGAAGGCAAAUAUUACUGGGAAACUCCCAGAAAAAUACAUGGCAUUUAGGUGUUGCGUCUGAAUCUGCUCCUAGCUACUGGCUCAUAGGGUGUGAUGGUGGGAAAAAGUACUUGACUUGGACAGACCCCUGUACCCAAAUGAACAUGUCCCCCAAAUCUAUAAUAAUAGGGAUAUCCCUGAAUAUAGAAAGCAGAGAGAUUUCUUUUUAUGAUUCUCAGAGGAAACAUAAAUUGUUUACGUUUCUUAAUGUUGGUUCGGAGACAUUUUAUCCUGUUUUUGCAACAAACCAUUUAAUAACAGAGUUCGAUGAUCAGAUGUUGAGAAUCCUGCCAUUGGGGAUAGUGGAAUAAAUGAAACAAGCCAAAAAUAAUUAGGGCAGAUUUUAAUUUGGAUAAGCUUCUUAUUAUACAUUUUACAGAAUCAUAUACUGGAACCAAUGAUCAAAC